AUUGAACGCUGGCGGCAGGCCUAACACAUGCAAGUCGAGCGAGUGGCGGACGUGUGAGUAAUGUAUGGGAAUCUGCCCGAUAGAGGGGGAUAACUACUGGAAACGGUGGAUAAUACCGCAUACUAUCGGAUGAACCCAUAUGGGAUUAGCUAGUAGGUGGGGUAAAGGCUCACAUAGGCGACGAUCUCUAGCUGGUCUGAGAGGAUGUCCAUCCACACUGGAACUGAGACACGGUCCAGACUCCUACGGGAGGCAGCAGUGGGGAAUAUUGCACAAUGGGCGCAAGCCUGAUGCAGCCAUGCCGCGUGAAUGAAGAAGGCCUUCGGGUUGUAAAGUUCUUUCGGUAGCGAGGCGUUACCUGCAGAAGAAGCACCGGCUAACUCCGUGCCAGCAGCCGCGGUAAUUC
RNAcentral lists this ribosomal RNA (406 nucleotides) under uncultured bacterium. Its description in RNAcentral is "partial 16S ribosomal RNA". It matches the Rfam family "Bacterial small subunit ribosomal RNA", at positions 30 to 526 of the family's 1533-position model. The record is from RNAcentral.